CUCAGGACGAACGCUGGCGGCGUGCCUAAUACAUGCAAGUCGAGCGGACAGAUGGGAGCUUGCUCCCUGAUGUUAGCGGCGGACGGGUGAGUAACACGUGGGUAACCUGCCUGUAAGACUGGGAUAACUCCGGGAAACCGGGGCUAAUACCGGAUGGUUGUYUGAACCGCAUGGUUCAGACAUAAAAGGUGGCUUCGGCUACCACUUACAGAUGGACCCGCGGCGCAUUAGCUAGUUGGUGAGGUAACGGCUCACCAAGGCGACGAUGCGUAGCCGACCUGAGAGGGUGAUCGGCCACACUGGGACUGAGACACGGCCCAGACUCCUACGGGAGGCAGCAGUAGGGAAUCUUCCGCAAUGGACGAAAGUCUGACGGAGCAACGCCGCGUGAGUGAUGAAGGUUUUCGGAUCGUAAAGCUCUGUUGUUAGGGAAGAACAAGUGCCGUUCAAAUAGGGCGGCACCUUGACGGUACCUAACCAGAAAGCCACGGCUAACUACGUGCCAGCAGCCGC
This 513-nucleotide ribosomal RNA is filed under the name Bacillus sp. AF-B36. RNAcentral describes it as "bacterial SSU rRNA". It matches the Rfam family "Bacterial small subunit ribosomal RNA", at positions 23 to 518 of the family's 1533-position model. The record is from RNAcentral. Lineage: Bacteria; Bacillati; Bacillota; Bacilli; Caryophanales; Bacillaceae.